Molecule: unclassified non-coding RNA, 358 nt
Filed under: plant metagenome
Description: partial contains 5.8S ribosomal RNA, internal transcribed spacer 2, and large subunit ribosomal RNA
Rfam family: 5.8S ribosomal RNA (bases 1-107)
Source: RNAcentral
GAAAUGCGAUACUUGGUGUGAAUUGCAGAAUCCCGUGAACCAUCGAGUCUUUGAACGCAAGUUGCGCCCGAAGCCAUUAGGCCGAGGGCACGCCUGCCUAGGCGUCACACGUCGUUGCCCCCCCCAUCUACUCCUUCGGGAUUGCGGGGGGCGGAUGACGGCCUCCCGUGCGCCUCGCCGCGCGGUUGGCAUAAAUACCAAGUCCUCGGCGACGCACGCCACGACAAUCGGUGGUUGCGAGACCUCGGUUGCCCGUCGUGUGCGUUCGUCGCGCAUCGAGGGCUCGAAAAAAUGCUCGGCUCUGGCUCGGCUUUCAACGCGACCCCAGGUCAGGCGGGGUUACCCGCUGAAUUUAAGC